RNAcentral lists this ribosomal RNA (605 nucleotides) under uncultured bacterium. RNAcentral's name for it is "bacterial SSU rRNA". It matches the Rfam family "Bacterial small subunit ribosomal RNA", at positions 61 to 669 of the family's 1533-position model. The record is from RNAcentral.
GUCGAACGAUGAAGAUUAAAAGAUUUCUUCGGAAUGAACUUAAUUGGAUUAGUGGCGGACGGGUGAGUAACGCGUGAGUAACCUGCCUUGUACAAGGGGAUAGCCGUUGGAAACGACGAAUAAUACCCUAUGACAUCAAAUAAUCGCAUGAUAAUUUGAUCAAAGAUUUAUCGGUAUAAGAUGGACUCGCGUCUGAUUAGCUAGUUGGUGGGGUAACUGCCUACCAAGGCAACGAUCAGUAGCCGGCUUGAGAGAGUGUACGGCCACAUUGGGACUGAGACACGGCCCAGACUCCUACGGGAGGCAGCAGUGGGGAAUUUUGCACAAUGGGGGCAACCCUGAUGCAGCGACGCCGCGUGAUUUAGAAGGCCUUCGGGUUGUAAAAAUCUUUUGUAUGGGAAGAAAAUGACAGUACCAUACGAAUAAGGACCGGCUAAUUACGUGCCAGCAGCCGCGGUAAUACGUAAGGUCCGAGCGUUGUCCGGAAUCAUUGGGCGUAAAGGGUACGUAGGCGGAUAAGCAAGUUAGAAGUUAAAUCCUAUAGCUCAACUAUAGCAAGCUUUUAAAACUGCUCAUCUUGAGGUAUGGAUGGGAAAGUGGAAUUC